CCUACGGGGUGCAGCAGUGGGGAAUAUUGGGCAAUGGGCGCAAGCCUGACCCAGCAACGCCGCGUGAAGGAAGAAGGCUUUCGGGUUGUAAACUUCUUUUGUCAGGGAAGAGUAGAAGACGGUACCUGACGAAUAAGCCACGGCUAACUACGUGCCAGCAGCCGCGGUAAUACGUAGGUGGCAAGCGUUGUCCGGAUUUACUGGGUGUAAAGGGCGUGUAGCCGGGUUGACAAGUCAGAUGUGAAAUCCUGCGGCUUAACCGGAGAACUGCAUUUGAAACUGUUGAUCUUGAGUACUGGAGAGGCAGACGGAAGGCCUAGUGUAGCGGUGAAAUGCGUAGAUAUUAGGAGGAACACCAGUGGCGAAGGCGGUCUGCUGGACAGCAACUGACGGUGAGGCGCGAAAGCGUGGGGAGCAAACAGGAUUAGAUACCCCGGUAGUC
This 442-nucleotide ribosomal RNA is filed under the name uncultured bacterium. Its description in RNAcentral is "partial 16S ribosomal RNA". It matches the Rfam family "Bacterial small subunit ribosomal RNA", at positions 338 to 795 of the family's 1533-position model. The record is from RNAcentral.